AGAUCCAUGGCACAGUGGUAGUGUGUCUGAUUCUAGAUCAGAAUGUUGUGCAUUCAAUUCAUGUUGAAUUCA
Capsicum annuum is the source of this 72-nucleotide non-coding RNA. Lineage: Eukaryota; Viridiplantae; Streptophyta; Magnoliopsida; Solanales; Solanaceae. The record is from Rfam.